UCAUCUAUCAGCACUUUUUCUGCAGUGUUACGAACAUCAGCUUCAUCACUGUCAGCCUGCGUUUUGCCUGCAACCCAUCAAAUGAGAAUUUUGGAAUUCAGCCAAAGGUUUGUCACAAUCCAAGGAGUGGCAUCAUUAAGAAUCAUCAAGAAAAACAAGAAAACUUUAGCAAGAACAGAAAGUUUAGUGGCAGUAUAACUUUUCCAUUCCCAUCUUUGUGCCCAGCUGUGUGGUAGCCUGAAAGCCACCAGGUUUGCUCCACAGUGGCUGUGAAAACCAGCAGCCCAGCAGCCCCUGCACGGGAGGAUUUCCUUUCUGCUUUCGAAAGCUCUGUCCCCGGAAAACUGUCACUAUUUCAUUUGUAUGUCAGCUCUCUAAAAAGGCACCCUUUUCAUAGCAUGUAUUUACCUCGUCUAACUCAGAGUGUGCUCUAUGUGGACAGUGCUAUUUCUGGGGCAAUUUUUUGCCAUCACAGCUACUUCCGACGGUGAGGCCAAUUGGAGCUAACAAGAGGCUGACCAAAAAACAAAAAAGGAAAAGGUAGGAAAGAUUUCCAGGUGCUUAAAGAAAAUCUCUGUCACAUCUGUGGGACUUUAGAAUACCACACUCCUGCACAGAAUUGUGUGUUUGCCCCAGGGCUGUGUACAUGCUAAGGAAAGACCUCAGAUGACCCUAAUUGUUCACCUCUGGCUGAAUUAAAGUCUCUAUGUGAACAGGAGGUGAAAUACAACAUAAAGUUGCAAGUUUCCCAGUGGAAUGUUGACAGUGUAUCUCAAUGGAUACACAUGCAGCCCCUUGGAAAAGUCCAGGUGAUUUAUUGGUUUAGUAUUUAAGAUCAUUUCUGUCCAAUCAUGAGCUGACCUCUAAGCUAAUGGAACAGCGUCUUUAGUGGCUACACAUGACACACGAUACAGACUUUAGCAAAUUAGUCCAGGAAAGUUACUAAGGAAGUAAUCAACAGCAAAGACUGUGCAAACAAACCCUGGGGAGAGAAUCUGAUUUCCAAACUGGCCACAUUAUAUUAUGUAAAAAGUCCAAUUUCAUUAAAGAAUUACGAGACAUGCAAAGAAACAAAAAAUAUUGCCCAUACAGAGAAGGGAAGGGAAACAAUGAACAGAGAUGAUCCUUUAGGAGCUCAGAUGAUGGAUUAGUAGACAAAGACAUCAGCUAUUAUAAAUACACUGAAAUAACUAAAGGAAACUCUGGACAAAAGACUAAAGGAAUGUAUGAGAAUAAUGUCUUACAACAUA
RNAcentral lists this long non-coding RNA (1250 nucleotides) under Homo sapiens (human). RNAcentral describes it as "HSALNT0401261". The record is from RNAcentral. Lineage: Eukaryota; Metazoa; Chordata; Mammalia; Primates; Hominidae.